Molecule: long non-coding RNA, 1989 nt
Organism: Alosa alosa (allis shad)
Lineage: Eukaryota; Metazoa; Chordata; Actinopteri; Clupeiformes; Clupeidae
Exons: 3
Source: RefSeq, a predicted model, not a curated record
AACAUUGUAGCUAGCUACGUAUAAAUACUGGAACAAAAAGAGAACUUCCUCAACAGCGACUGUUGUAACAACAGUAAGGGGGGGACAAUGUCCGUGUUGGUUUGGGACUUCAACCAUUAUGUUUUUACUCCGUCUGUUUUGAUAGACGGAGUAUUUCACCUAGAGCACAGAAGUGCCGUUGCUGUGCUGUACCCGCUGGACAGUGUUCCGAGUGUUCGGGGAGCUGUAGAAUGUAUUGUUGGAUGUGCGUUUCAGUAUUGUUGGAUGUGCGUUUCAGUACCGCUUUUCCCACCACAGAGAGAAGUCUCUCGCUACGACCUGUAGGAAGGCCCUCUGGACAUACGCGCACUGCGUCAACGCAGGACCGUAUGUUGAGUGAAGGAAGUGACAUACUCCUGCGUGCUCAUUUACGCGCGUUGAAGACGUGCAUCAUUGGCGCGCAGUCACAUAUGUCAGGAGGCGCAUGACAAGCAUGGCGCGUUGAUGAUCGCGUGCCACACGCACGGGACACAGACACAGAGCUCCAGCUGCCCCUUCCCCACGCGCUGUAGGCCGAAGCAAAGAACUUAUGCAGACAGCAAUAUCAUGCCCUUUUUUAAGCUCACAGUAAUCAGCCUGGCCUCAAAACAUUACCAGCUGACCAAGAAUUCACCUGAUAACCACUCCAUUACUGCCAGCCUCUCACUCUCCAGUUGUUCAUGGGGAAAUCCCUGCUGCAUACCUGCCGGUGCUGGAUCGAGGGCUGCCCACUACUCCACAUGUGUGUGUGUGCUGAGCUCCUAAUGUGUUCUGGAGCUCACAGAUCCUAGUGUGUGUCUAUAUGUGUGUGUGUGUGUGUGUGUGUGUGUGUGUGUGUGCGUGUGUGUGUGUGUGUGUAUACUGCCUCUGGAAUGGUGAAAUGCAGAGAACACAUUUCCUUCGAGGACAAAUAGAGUACUUAACUUAACAGGCCCCCCCGCCCCAAGGCCCUGAUUGGACUGGAUACCAAAAGGCCCUCACUGCAAGGGCAACAGUAUCCCAGCAUGCUUUUCUGCGUGGAUCUUAGUACUCUGAUCAGUGAUGUGCACAGUGAAGCUGAGGUCUGGGAGCUGGAGCAGACAUCAUCUGGGUAGUUGGGUUGGUGUUAAAACAAGACAUUUGAAGGGCUGUGCAACCCAGUGACCCAAUGGUCCUAUCAUGAAUCAGUUAGUUACACACACACACACACACACACAUUACCUGUCUGGUCUUUUACACUGCUCACCAAAGAGCUUAUUAAUGUCAGGCACACUUCUGGACACUAUGCUGCUCCUCCAUGCAAGUUACUUUCCUCCUUCAACUGUGUGAAUUUCGUGUCUGCAGGUCUGCCGUCCAUCUCUUUGUCUGAUGCUUUGGCCUGUCUUGUUUCCUCUCUCUACAACAUUGCAUAAGGUGUCUGAUGCUUUGGCCUGUCUUGUUUCCUCUCUCUACAACAUUGCAUAAGGUGUCUGAUGCUUUGGCCUGUCUUGUUUCCUCUCUCUACAACAUUGCAUAAGGUGCCUGAUGCUUUGGCCUGUCUUGUUUCCUCUCUCUACAACAUUGCAUAAGGUGCCUGUAUGCUGCAAAAGUGAAGUAAAGUCACUGGUAAUUAUCAGCCGUUGUUGUCCAAACUGACGCUGGCUCGCUAUGGCAGCUUUGGGGUUAGAUCUUGGGCCAACCAUUGAUGAUACUGCUGCUUCACCACGUCAGAAACAGAAGUGUAAUACUAUGCAGUAAAACUAUGUAUAAAACUGUGUGUAAUAAUGUAAUAAUAUAGUAUUCAACUGGUAUUGUUAUUGAUUCAGUAGCCCAUAUUCAGCUUUCAUCAGAGGGUGCUCAUGUCAUACCAGAUAUUUGGUGGCUAACAGGAGCGGACAGUGUUCUGGCAGGUUGCCAUGGUGACUUCACAACUAUUUUAGUUAAAUUGACCAGUUGUGGAGCUCAAGUGUGUAAUUUUGAGGGAGCAAAUGUCAUUAAAUUAAUCUGACAGUU